Molecule: long non-coding RNA, 763 nt
Filed under: Gallus gallus (chicken)
Lineage: Eukaryota; Metazoa; Chordata; Aves; Galliformes; Phasianidae
Source: RNAcentral
GUCCAGCUAUGUAUGCUUUCAAUGCUAUACGGCAUCUCAAUAGACAUAUCCAAGGAGAAUUUUUUCAGCGUUUCUACUUGUUUAACACAAAUCUUUUUUAUUGUAUCCUGUGUGUUUUCAUUCAGUGCUUUGUCCUGUUGCCAUGGUGACACAGAAGCAGGCAUAUGAAAGGUGAUACAACCGUUCAGGCAACUCAGUUCAGUGAUAUAGGUGACCUUGAUCAGUACUGUAGAGUUUGGACAUAUAUUUCCAACAGUUAUUACAAAAAUAUCCGGUGCAUCCUGGUCCAUGAGAUAAGCUCCAUCACCUUCACUAAUAGCUUUGCGAUAUUCUCUAUGUGCUUGUUUCUUUUCUUUAACCUGCCCAAUGAUGUGUCUUCCGUUGACAAAAGCUUCAAAUCCACAAACAGCAGCUUUAUCAUCCAAAGGGAAAACAUACUUAGCUUCAAUUGGACUACUGUUUUGAUUGGUGUAGGUCUGAAACAUCACUACCUGUGCUACAAAGUCUAUUAUCCUUGCCUUGAUAUGAACACUUUCCAGAGGAACAGGAUUUCCCAGUCUGUCUUGAAGACCAGUUUUCACUGUAUCUGAAAUAUUUGCACUGGGUAAUUCAUAGCUCUCAUUCUGUAAAUGACACUGUGACUCCGGCUCAGUGUUAUCUUGUUCAAUUUCCACCCCAGUUCCAGGCUGGAAUUGUUUUAUUUGAUCUUCAGCAAGGCAAAACUUAACAACGUAUCUAAUUUUAACCUGUGUGGUUUUGUACA